UGAUAUGACCUUGAUGUGGCCUAUCAGAAUUAUAUGUUGGCCACAUUCAAUGCUUAGUUAGUCAGUAGAAGUCCAUGUUGUCGGAGACAGUAGGAUGGGAUUACCGAGGUGCCUUAUCUUCAUUUGGCAUAGUCGGCUGUCAACCAGCUAUUAAGUCGUUUACAGGCCGAGUGCCAUUGGGAGGGAGCUUUAUUUAUCCGAGCC
Molecule: long non-coding RNA, 204 nt
Filed under: Elaeis guineensis (African oil palm)
Lineage: Eukaryota; Viridiplantae; Streptophyta; Magnoliopsida; Arecales; Arecaceae
Description: long non-coding RNA (EGUI_LNC076727)
Source: RNAcentral